CACGUACUCCCUCCGUCCGUUAAUACUUGUAAUCAAAAUGGAUAGAAGGAAAUGUAUCUAGACGUAUUUUAGUUCUAGAUACAUCCCUAUUUAUUUAUUUUGAUGACAAGUAUUUUCAAACAGAGGGAGUACUUU
Triticum aestivum (bread wheat) is the source of this 135-nucleotide non-coding RNA. NCBI's taxonomy places the organism in Eukaryota, Viridiplantae, Streptophyta, Magnoliopsida, Poales, Poaceae. The record is from Rfam.